AACCCAACCCCGCCUUUACUAGGUUUGUGCACAGGGUUUGUGCUCAGAGCAGGAUCAGAGCAGGCUGGAUGGGUGCGGGCUUGGCCAGACUGUCCGCCCUGGCCCAGCCGGUUCACCUCAUUCAUUCGUCCCCCGGUGGCCCUGGGUGUCUGCCGCGUGCCAGCCCUCUGCUGGGCGCGGGAAGGCAGAGAUACACCCGGGCGCGCUUGGGGGACGCAGAGACCAAGCAGGACAGAGAAGAGCUUGCGUCGCGCGUUCUCCAAGGGUCCGAUGCAAAAAGCUGAGAACCACGCGAGAGAUGUGCACACCAGCUGCCCUCAGGGACACUUCAUGAUGGUAAGCAGUGUGGGUCAGAGAAGCAGCAACCAGCCCCAGGAGAAUCAAGAGCCAGCCCUGCUCCCACCUGCAUGUGAGUCACCAUCAGGGAUGAUUCUCAUUAGUAACCAGAAUAGGCCAGGAGAAGCAGUAGCCAAUCCCACCCUCACACACACACUGUCCUCCAUCAGGGAGCUUCCUUCAGGUAUGCAGCUCGGACUGGGAAAAGCAGCAGCCAGCCCUGCACCAAUACAUCCCCUGGCCACCAUCAGGUAGCAGUGGCCAGCACUGACCAGGAGAACCAGCCACUCAAGCCUUGGAGAUAUCAGCCAACAUGAGAAGUGCCUUGGACUCCACAUCCCACUUAUCCAGAACACAGGAAAAUGUUAAGAUGAAGAAGCAAAAGGCAAUCUCUGGCCUUCAACCCAUGAAGAGCAAGUGCAGGAGAUGCAAAUAUGGAAGAGACUGGAAGUGGCACGCCUGAAGUCUCUCUAUGGCAGAGUACUCCACUGCAUGUAAAUACUACAUUGUCUUUACCCCUUCAUCUGUGGAUGGGUAUAUGGGCUGUUUCCAAGAUUUAGCUAUUAUGAAUUGUGCUGCUAUAAACAUGGGCAUACAUAUACAUGCAUAUUUGCUGGGUUGAAUGGAACCUUUAGUGUUAAUUUUUAAAGAAAUCUCCAUAUUGAUUUCCAUUGUACAAGUUUUCAGUCCCACCAAAAGUAGAGAAAGAUUUCUUUUUCCCCUGCAGCCUCUCCGGUAUUUGUUAUUGUAUGAUUUCUCAAUGGUAUCCAUUCUUUCUGGAAUGAGAUAGAACUGUAGUGUUGUUUUAAUUUGUAUUUCUCAAAUGCUCAGGUGGUGCUUGGGGAAAGAGGACUGGGAGUUCCUUAUUGAAAGGCAGACAAAUUUACAAUGUUAAUGUAGUGAGAAUGUGGCUUUGGGCAAAGUCUUCUGUGGCUAGUAGAAGGCCUGAGACAUAUAUGAAGAGGUAAAGUUGUAACUUCAGUGGAGCCUGGCAUUGAGGAGCUGCUCCUCUUUCCUAAUGAUAGCAUGGCAUUUUUUCCAGGGGCAAGAAAGCACCAGAGGACUCUGCUGGUGAGAUAGACCAGAAGUAGGAAAGGGAAAUGUCUACAGAACUGGAAUUCUUGGUCUGUAUUUCCAAAGUUGCCCUCUCUUUUCAUCAUUCAAAAGGAAAUCUACAAUGAAGGCCAUACUUAACUGUCUUAUGACAAACAGGAAACGGGGAGACUCAAAGACAACCUCGUAUUGUGUCUCAGAGAUUUGAAACUAACAAUAAAUCUAAGCUGAUGAAUUUGGAACUGUCAUCACUGGAGACUGACUACUGUCCUUUUUCACACUCAUUUUCAGACAGGGUGGGAUCAAGUUCUUCUCCCGGGCUGGAAGGAGAGAGAGGCCAGUUGGGAGAUAACUUGUGCUAAGGACUCCUCCAGUUAGUUUUUCAGUGGAGAACAGUACAAAGGCCACUGUCUUUACUCUUGUGUUCUAUAGACAAUUGAUUUUGAAAUUGCUCAGCCUUGAAAUGGAGCAAUUGAUUUUCAAAGUCCACGUGCCAAUUACUUACCCUGAGGAUGCACUGAGCCAUUCAAAGACAGAUAUCCUUUUUCAAACCCUAAGGGUUUUGAAUCACCGUGAAGUAAGAAUAAAGAAAGAUAUUUUUUCUCUGUUUAGACAAAUAAAUGUGAGGAAGCUAUGGGCAUGGGACCAAAUUAUUUUAAUCCACUUGCACAAUUUAUGAGACGCCAGCUCAUGUUAGAGGCCAUAUGGGCAUAACAAGGAUUCAGCAGACAUUUUCUAUAUUUUCUUCUCAAGAUUGAAUGGCAAGUAUUCCAUAUUUAAAGAAGUGGAAAAAUAAGCGAAACCUAUGAUGAAGUAAAAUUUUUCUUAUCUUCUCUAAGAAGAUCAUUAGUUCUUAUUGUCAAGCCAAAUCCCAAGCUUCCAAGUUUGUCAAAGGAGAAGCAGUUCAAUUUUGUGAAUCUGACCACUGACCUCUGUGUUUAUUUUGUUUGUGUGAAUUUUCCCUUAUCACUGCUGCUUUAAUUCCUAGUAACUCACUGUGACCAUUUGACCCAAAACACAACCACAAUCAAGAAGUACAGAGCCCUAGAAGAUUGCCCGAAGACUCAGGAUAUUAAUUUAGAAAUAACACCAGCAAUGAUUAGUUAACCCCAUGCAAUAGUUAUCUUUUAUACUUUAAGGAAAUAGUCACAGCAACUCAAGGAGACUCUCCAAGUUUAGUUGCACAGCUACUAAUUGUUGAAGCCAAGACUGAAACUCAGAAAAUGAGCCAGGACGUGAAUAUGGGGUACUAACCAGCACCCAGUAAGAGGAGGAGCGUGAUUAGACUGUAUUUCCAGAGACAGCUGCAGCAGUGUCUCCCAUGUCUCUGCCUCUGCAAUUCACUUAAAUGACAUUUCAGUGCCUGUGUUCUAGGGAUGAAGAUGUAUUGUUUGCCUCCCACUCUGACCCAAAGGGAGACCCUGAGGAAGGGGUUCAUGUGCAAGUAGUUUACGUAGGAGGAAAACUUAAGAGAACCCUGUCGUUGGAGCAGGGACAUGAGAUAGGAAAGGGAAGGCAGCCAAUGCAUGCAUAGAGGAAGGGAGUGUUAGCAACCGAGUUAUCACUGCAGACAGCUGGAGCUGGGCCCCACUGGGAAAAGCUGGGAAGCAGUGCACAGCACAUCCCAGCUGUUUAUCUCCCCUUUUCCUCCAUGCUGGUGGCUGACUGAUGCUCCCAGAGGGGUGUACCCCCUGGUACCCUGGCUGCCUCUGGGAGCAGGCAGAGCAGGCCUCAGAAGCACAGGAAAUCCAUUUUGGACAGGGGAGGGGUAAAGAGAACCACUGAUAACAUCUGCUGGAGAGACGUUCAGUCUGUGCACUCGGGUCAGUGUGCAAGCUCUGAGGAGUAUGCAACAGUGAUAGCAAAGAAAUUACAACACAAUCAAGACUCAGAUUGCCCAAAUGAAACAGAAUAUAGAAUCCUCUUGAGGUUUUAUGCAGCCAGUUCCCGCAGUGGCCCCUGUUACUCUCUUCUUUGAGCCUUUGCUUUCCCCAAACCAGGCCCCCAUAUGGUUCCCACUGACCGUCUGUUCAUCUGUUAUUCACGGUGGAGGUAGGACUACAUUUGCCUGUCUGCAAGAAUAUUACCUUAGCAACGUUUGCAGCCCUAUUUGAGGAACAUCAGCAGGGAAGCACCAGGCCUGUGUUGAUCAAAGUGGCUGUAUGAUGUGCAUGGGGCUUCCUGGGAAUUAUUAACCCUAAUUGAUGAUGAUUUUAGUUGAAAACGAUUGAAAGACUGCAUAUAAAAAUCUGGUUUAGAGAGUAAUGUUUCCUUUAUCUUCUAAAGAAUUGUUUUCCUUGGAUACAUCUGAAAUAACUCAGUAUGUUGACUGAGUGCUCACCCAGAUGACCAAAUCUCUCUGAUUAUAAAUAGCAUAAAAGCUAUGGGGAAAUGUUUAAAUGCAUAAUCUGAGCAUCUCAAUUGUAUGUUCUUUUCACAAAGAAGUGGAUUGAUCUAUCCCAGUGCCUUUUCCAAAAUGUUCUUUUUUGGGGAAUGUGUGACCUAAGCAGCAGACAUGUAUUGUAAGAAACUGACCCACGAUUGCGGAUACCAGCAAUCUCUGGAGUAGAUGUCUGCAGGGUUGGUGUCUUCUGAGCUCUCUCUCAGGUAGCUGCACUCUCCUGUGUGUCCCAGAGACUCCCCUCUGCACCUUUGGCCUAAUUUCCUCUUCCAUAAAGACACUAAUCACAUCGGAUUAGGAUUCACACAGAUGACUCCAUUUUAACUUAGUUACCUCAUUUUAUAUUCCAUGUUAAACAGGUUUGCUUUCCUUUUCAACUUUAUUGAAGCAUAGUUAAUGAAUAAAUUUGUAUCUAUUUAAAGUGUCUGACCAUGAUUUGGUGUACAUACGCCAUGAGAUGAAGCACACAUUAAUCACUUCACAUAGCUAUGUGUUUUGUUUGUGUGAGAACACUUACGGUCUAUUCUCAGCAAAUUUUAAGGAUGUAACACACUGCUAUGGAUUAUAGUAACCACCAGAUCUUCAGAACCUACUUAUCUUAUAACUGAGUGUGUACAUUGUGAUCAACAGUUGGUUGCUCUGGCAAUCACGUUCUACCAUUUCUGAGUGUGAUGUCCCUACCCACAGAUUCCACAUACAAGUAAUACUGUAUCAUGCUGCCCCUUCUCUGGUUUACUUUGUUCAAUGCACUGCAAACACCAGCAAUUUUGUUUUAUUUAGAUGUCAUGACAUGAGGCUGAGGUUUUAGAGUUUAUGAGAAAAUCCAUUGGUAAGAUGCAUGAUCCUCUUUGAGGGCACAUUUUAUUUGAGGUUCUUUAUCGCUUUCCAAGUAUUUAUAAGUUUAAGCUAAGGCAGAUUGUAUUUCUAAACAGUGAGCACAGAUAUUACAUUUUCCAGGCUAUAGUUUCACAUUCAUAAUAAUGACAUUUCAGGAUUCAGAGUUACACAUAGAACAGCCAGGAGGUGUGAUCACUCAGUCUGAAAGCUUGUCAUCUGCUGUUAUUUAAGGAGGCUGAGGACAGCCCUGUCACACAUGAUUUAGUAAGCACAAUGAAUUAUAUCAGAAAGCUAUGGCUCCUACUCUGUUCACAUCAACUCUGCAGUUAUUUAAGAGACAUGAAGAGGGAAAUAACGAAUUUGGAAGGAAGUUUGUUGUGCUAGGCACAUAGUGAAAAGAGAUCAGAUAAAUUUUAUUGAAAUAUUAUCACAGAGGAAGUCCUGCUCUAAACUUCUGUUCAGCCACAAGAGAUGGUGUUAGUUCAGCUGCCUGAGUUAAAGUCCUAUUUUACAUACCUACAGGAGCAGAAAUCUCCAUUGUCAAAAAAUGCACAUUAAAUCAGGAUUUUCAGAAAGAUAUGAUUCGUCAUCAAUGUUAUAACCUAAGGCCCCCUAACUAUUGCGCCGUAAGGUCUGUUCUGUAUAAGCCCACCUGCUGCUUCCCCUCCCCUUCUCCCUUCACAUCUAACUAGGUUAAGUUUUAACUUCCCAAAAGGCCACAAAACAAAGGCCUGAGGUAAUAGCUCCUGAGCCCGUCACAAAUUGUGUUAAUUGCAUUAGAUUGUAUUAGAUUGUACUAUUCUUCACAAAAAUAGCUUCGUUAUAUUUGUAUCAUAGCAAUACCUGUAACUUGGCCUUACUGUCUGUGUUUUCCUUUUCUCUUUGGAUGACCUAAUUGAUAUGUUAAUCAAUGCUCUCCUCUGUAAAGAAUUGUAAAAUCUUACCUAAUUGAUAUGUUAACCAUUGUUGCCCUCUACAAAUAACAGUUGUGGUGCUGAAGUAGGGUAACUAAGGUUGUUAAUUGCUGUUAGACUUCUCUAUUCUUUGCUAAGAAAAACAAGAUUUCUUCUUAUCUAAACUUGCUAGUAUGCAGGGAGACUUGCAAUUGCCGUUUCUGCUUUGUAGUGCAUCACACCCCCAGCCCCUUCCUUACAUUGUGUGACCAGCAGCUGUUUGUGGAUUUACAAGAUAAAAGCACUGACUUUUAGCUGUGAGGGGCGCAGUCUCCAAAUUGGCUCCUGGAGACUGUGUCACCAGGCCUGGAAAUAAAGCCUUUGCUUCCCAAAUUUUAA
Molecule: long non-coding RNA, 5919 nt
Organism: Cavia porcellus (domestic guinea pig)
Lineage: Eukaryota; Metazoa; Chordata; Mammalia; Rodentia; Caviidae
Exons: 2
Source: RefSeq, a predicted model, not a curated record